CCUCUUGCCCUAUAUGUAUAAGAGGUCCCGCCUGCCCUGUGAUAUUUUUAACGGCCGCGGUAUCUUGACCGUGCGAAGGUAGCGUAAUCAACUGUCUUUUAAUUGAAGGCCUGUAUGAAUGGCAUUACGAGAGUUUAUCUGUCUUUAUUUUCCAAUCAAUGAAAUUAAUCUCCUCGUGCAGAAGCGAGGAUAUAAACAUAAGACGAGAAGACCCUAUGGAGCUUUAAACACUUAAGUUACUUCUAAAUAUAAAUAUCUCACCUUCGGGUACAACACUAAACAAGAAGCCUGACUUAACUUGUUUUUGGUUGGGGCGACCAAGGAGAAGAACAAAACCUCCUUAUCGAGUGUGUGAGCACUCACUCAAAAAUUAGAACCACCAUUCUAAUUAAUAGAAAAAUCUAACGAACAAUGACCCAGGGAGCCCUCCCUGAUCAAUGGACCAAGUUACCCUAGGGAUAACAGCGCAAUCCUUUCCCAGAGCCCUCAUCACCGAAAGGGUUUACGACCUCGAUGUUGGAUCAGGACAUCCUAAUGGUGCAGCAGCUAUCAAGGGUUCGUUUGUUCAACGAUUAAAGUCCUACAUGAUCUGAGUUC
This 597-nucleotide ribosomal RNA is filed under the name Maculabatis gerrardi (sharpnose stingray). RNAcentral describes it as "partial large subunit ribosomal RNA". It matches the Rfam family "Bacterial large subunit ribosomal RNA", at positions 1819 to 2612 of the family's 2925-position model. The record is from RNAcentral. Lineage: Eukaryota; Metazoa; Chordata; Chondrichthyes; Myliobatiformes; Dasyatidae.